This is a long non-coding RNA of Hippocampus comes (tiger tail seahorse), 718 nucleotides long. RefSeq lists it as uncharacterized. The record is from RefSeq and is a predicted model, not a curated record. NCBI's taxonomy places the organism in Eukaryota, Metazoa, Chordata, Actinopteri, Syngnathiformes, Syngnathidae. The transcript is spliced from 3 exons.
CCUCAUAAAAGGUCACAGACCAAAAAUUGAAAUGUUUUUCUUGAGACCUCUUGAACCCCUUUACAAUGCAUUGUCACUGUCAUUAAAAAGUGAUUAGAUUGUUGGCAGACAGCAGUUUAAUCACAAACAAUCUGAGGUUGCCAAUUAAGUACUCCAAGCUCUGCACUGAACAUUUUGAACCGGUGUGCUUCAGCAAACAUUUACAAUAGCAUCAGUUACACGAGUGAUGUUCAACACAGGCUGAAACCAGCUCCCGCCCCAGCGAUUUUUCCUUCGGCAAAUGCGACUUCAACUCCCAGCAGCAGCAGGAAGAACCCCGGUGGUCCUGGUGCAUUCGAAAAGUGGCACAGGCAAGAGUAGUGUGAACUUCCUGACUGCUGCAGAGAACUGAGCCUUGAGGGGGGGACACAUAUCACAGGGGAAGUGGGUGAGGUAAGUUUUUCUGGCCCGCUAAUUUAUCACCAGUGUCAUUGAGAAAGAAAGUGUUUUGAGUCAUUGUCCAAUAACUUGUGUUGUUUUCGAUAAGCAUUUUUUCCACAAACUUUUGCUUUUCCCUUCUUUUUUUAUGAACCCUUGCAGCCAUUCAUCCACCGGCACCAACACAGACAGUUCCAACAGCGCCAACAUCUCCGCUCAGCAAAACGGGGCUGUGAAAAACGCUGCCCAUUACAGGCGCAAAAAACACAAGCACCUUAGGGCUGUCCAGUAGCGACGUCAA